RNAcentral lists this ribosomal RNA (1929 nucleotides) under Escherichia coli. RNAcentral's name for it is "partial 23S ribosomal RNA". It matches the Rfam family "Bacterial large subunit ribosomal RNA", at positions 977 to 2885 of the family's 2925-position model. RNAcentral also lists the same sequence under 1 other name. The record is from RNAcentral. Lineage: Bacteria; Pseudomonadati; Pseudomonadota; Gammaproteobacteria; Enterobacterales; Enterobacteriaceae.
ACGGGAGACACACGGCGGGUGCUAACGUCCGUCGUGAAGAGGGAAACAACCCAGACCGCCAGCUAAGGUCCCAAAGUCAUGGUUAAGUGGGAAACGAUGUGGGAAGGCCCAGACAGCCAGGAUGUUGGCUUAGAAGCAGCCAUCAUUUAAAGAAAGCGUAAUAGCUCACUGGUCGAGUCGGCCUGCGCGGAAGAUGUAACGGGGCUAAACCAUGCACCGAAGCUGCGGCAGCGACGCUUAUGCGUUGUUGGGUAGGGGAGCGUUCUGUAAGCCUGUGAAGGUGUGCUGUGAGGUAUGCUGGAGGUAUCAGAAGUGCGAAUGCUGACAUAAGUAACGAUAAAGCGGGUGAAAAGCCCGCUCGCCGGAAGACCAAGGGUUCCUGUCCAACGUUAAUCGGGGCAGGGUGAGUCGACCCCUAAGGCGAGGCCGAAAGGCGUAGUCGAUGGGAAACAGGUUAAUAUUCCUGUACUUGGUGUUACUGCGAAGGGGGGACGGAGAAGGCUAUGUUGGCCGGGCGACGGUUGUCCCGGUUUAAGCGUGUAGGCUGGUUUUCCAGGCAAAUCCGGAAAAUCAAGGCCGAGGCGUGAUGACGAGGCACUACGGUGCUGAAGCAACAAAUGCCCUGCUUCCAGGAAAAGCCUCUAAGCAUCAGGUAACAUCAAAUCGUACCCCAAACCGACACAGGUGGUCAGGUAGAGAAUACCAAGGCGCUUGAGAGAACUCGGGUGAAGGAACUAGGCAAAAUGGUGCCGUAACUUCGGGAGAAGGCACGCUGAUACGUAGGUGAAGCGACUUGCUCGUGGAGCUGAAAUCAGUCGAAGAUACCAGCUGGCUGCAACUGUUUAUUAAAAACACAGCACUGUGCAAACACGAAAGUGGACGUAUACGGUGUGACGCCUGCCCGGUGCCGGAAGGUUAAUUGAUGGGGUUAGCGCAAGCGAAGCUCUUGAUCGAAGCCCCGGUAAACGGCGGCCGUAACUAUAACGGUCCUAAGGUAGCGAAAUUCCUUGUCGGGUAAGUUCCGACCUGCACGAAUGGCGUAAUGAUGGCCAGGCUGUCUCCACCCGAGACUCAGUGAAAUUGAACUCGCUGUGAAGAUGCAGUGUACCCGCGGCAAGACGGAAAGACCCCGUGAACCUUUACUAUAGCUUGACACUGAACAUUGAGCCUUGAUGUGUAGGAUAGGUGGGAGGCUUUGAAGUGUGGACGCCAGUCUGCAUGGAGCCGACCUUGAAAUACCACCCUUUAAUGUUUGAUGUUCUAACGUGGACCCGUGAUCCGGGUUGCGGACAGUGUCUGGUGGGUAGUUUGACUGGGGCGGUCUCCUCCUAAAGAGUAACGGAGGAGCACGAAGGUUGGCUAAUCCUGGUCGGACAUCAGGAGGUUAGUGCAAUGGCAUAAGCCAGCUUGACUGCGAGCGUGACGGCGCGAGCAGGUGCGAAAGCAGGUCAUAGUGAUCCGGUGGUUCUGAAUGGAAGGGCCAUCGCUCAACGGAUAAAAGGUACUCCGGGGAUAACAGGCUGAUACCGCCCAAGAGUUCAUAUCGACGGCGGUGUUUGGCACCUCGAUGUCGGCUCAUCACAUCCUGGGGCUGAAGUAGGUCCCAAGGGUAUGGCUGUUCGCCAUUUAAAGUGGUACGCGAGCUGGGUUUAGAACGUCGUGAGACAGUUCGGUCCCUAUCUGCCGUGGGCGCUGGAGAACUGAGGGGGGCUGCUCCUAGUACGAGAGGACCGGAGUGGACGCAUCACUGGUGUUCGGGUUGUCAUGCCAAUGGCACUGCCCGGUAGCUAAAUGCGGAAGAGAUAAGUGCUGAAAGCAUCUAAGCACGAAACUUGCCCCGAGAUGAGUUCUCCCUGACCCUUUAAGGGUCCUGAAGGAACGUUGAAGACGACGACGUUGAUAGGCCGGGUGUGUAAGCGCAGCGAUGCG